This 1153-nucleotide ribosomal RNA is filed under the name Triticum aestivum (bread wheat). RNAcentral's name for it is "partial small subunit ribosomal RNA". Lineage: Eukaryota; Viridiplantae; Streptophyta; Magnoliopsida; Poales; Poaceae. The record is from RNAcentral.
CGCGCCCGUGAACCCAUGCUCCUUCACCUUAUCUCUUACUCCAGCCCACUGCCCUCACUUCAUUUCCUCUUCUCUGGAUCCCCUUCCUCGUCUAGCUCACUAGGGGUGCAGGUCGCAGUUGCAACACCAGCCGCAGGAAUCGGCGGGAUACGCUAGCCCUCAGUCCGGAUCGACGUCGAUGCCUCCGGCUCCGACAUGCACGCCCGCUGGACACCGCCGUGAACCACCUUGUUUCCCGGUGCAUUCUUGCUUCUAGGUAGUUCCCCUAGCUCCAUUGUUACUCCUGUCGUUCCUUUAAUGGUGAUUCUGGGCACCGACAUGCAUCAGCCUCUUGGACCGAGGUUGUCUUCGUCGGUUCCGUCGGCCGCCACUGCGGCACCGCGGUCAUCCUCCUCACCGAACAGCUCCAGGGACCAUGACGGGCUCCGUGUUGUCCGCAUCUCCUCUGGACCAUGGACUCGAAGCCGCGGGUCCCUCCUACUUCUUCCCUGACGUUGACUUCCAUUGUCGCUGUCCGGAGCUCGUUGCUCUGCUCCAUCCAACCUUGCCACUUACAGCAUGGGUUUCUUAAUCGUUUAAAUAGAGUCCGGCAAUGAGGGGUAUUAUGAGUUUGAUCCACAGCUUCAUCAGGACGCUGACCAGGAAGGCAAGCAUCAUGAAUUCCCUAUCUUAUGUUUUACUUAUGUUGAAGGAUUAUACUAUCUUGUUGCCCAUGUUGGUUACCAUGUCGUACCUUUCUUUGCAAUAUCCACAUUUAGGACAUGGGUAGGAGUUGCUUGCUGUUCAUGAUCAGCGGGUUGUGACAUAUAUUAAUUCCGGCAAUUUGUAGUCAUCUUAAAAUAGUACAGUUAUGAUAUCUUCAGACCAGAAAAUGCCAAACGGAGACCGAGCUCCAUGGAGGCCUUUAUUCAAUAACUUCAAAAUUCAAACUUUUCAGUUUCAAAAAAUUCUGAAAAUAAACACACAUAUACCUAGAUACAUAAUGUACAUGUGUGCAAAUUAUCAGGUCAAAACACAUUAAAAUGUGAGCUACACAAAAAAGAAAAUUCUGGUGCUUUUUAGCAUGUAUACUGUUCAUCUUCAAAGUCUAUGAUUUUUCUUUGUGCAGCUUGCAAUUCAAGCUAUUUCAUAGUGAAAUUUUUCGCACAUACAC